RNAcentral lists this ribosomal RNA (433 nucleotides) under uncultured bacterium. RNAcentral's name for it is "partial 16S ribosomal RNA". It matches the Rfam family "Bacterial small subunit ribosomal RNA", at positions 29 to 507 of the family's 1533-position model. The record is from RNAcentral.
AGCGAACGCUGGCGGCAUGCCUAACACAUGCAAGUCGAACGAGACCUUCGGGUCUAGUGGCGCACGGGUGCGUAACGCGUGGGAACCUGCCCUUAGGUUCGGAAUAACUCCCCGAAAGGGGUGCUAAUACCGGAUAAUGUCUUCGGACCAAAGAUUUAUCGCCUUUGGAUGGGCCCGCGUUGGAUUAGCUAGUUGGUAGGGUAAAAGCCUACCAAGGCGACGAUCCAUAGCUGGUCUGAGAGGAUGAUCAGCCACACUGGGACUGAGACACGGCCCAGACUCCUACGGGAGGCAGCAGUGGGGAAUAUUGGACAAGGGGCGAAAGCCUGAUCCAGCAAUGCGGCGUGAGUGAUGAAGGCCUUAGGGUUGUAAAGCUCUUUUACCCGGGAUGAUAAUGACAGUACCGGGAGAAUAAGCUCCGGCUAACUCCGUG